This 465-nucleotide ribosomal RNA is filed under the name Vreelandella stevensii. RNAcentral's name for it is "partial 16S ribosomal RNA". It matches the Rfam family "Bacterial small subunit ribosomal RNA", at positions 338 to 795 of the family's 1533-position model. The record is from RNAcentral. Lineage: Bacteria; Pseudomonadati; Pseudomonadota; Gammaproteobacteria; Oceanospirillales; Halomonadaceae.
CCUACGGGGGGCUGCAGUGGGGAAUAUUGGACAAUGGGGGCAACCCUGAUCCAGCCAUGCCGCGUGUGUGAAGAAGGCCCUCGGGUUGUAAAGCACUUUCAGUGAGGAAGAACGCCUGGUGGUUAAUACCCAUCAGGAAAGACAUCACUCACAGAAGAAGCACCGGCUAACUCCGUGCCAGCAGCCGCGGUAAUACGGAGGGUGCGAGCGUUAAUCGGAAUUACUGGGCGUAAAGCGAGCGUAGGUGGCUUGAUAAGCCGGUUGUGAAAGCCCCGGGCUCAACCUGGGAACGGCAUCCGGAACUGUCAAGCUAGAGUGCAGGAGAGGAAGGUAGAAUUCCCGGUGUAGCGGUGAAAUGCGUAGAGAUCGGGAGGAAUACCAGUGGCGAAGGCGGCCUCCUGGACUGACACUGACACUGAGGUGCGAAAGCGUGGGUAGCAAACAGGAUUAGAUACCCUUGUAGUC